Molecule: RNA transcript, 1305 nt
Organism: Arabidopsis thaliana (thale cress)
Lineage: Eukaryota; Viridiplantae; Streptophyta; Magnoliopsida; Brassicales; Brassicaceae
Exons: 3
Source: RefSeq
CUUAGGUCAGAUUCUGUAAAUUUAUGUAUCUUGAUUGAUUAUCGUUUUCUUAAUUGUUAUAUCAAUACUUAUGCUUAGAUUUACGUAUAAACUACUAUAAUGUAUAAUCUCAUCGAAGUUAGGAUAAGCAUAUAGAUAUAUUCGUCAAUCCCCAAAAAUGCUUCGAUGGUCAAUGUCUCACAGUCUCAGUGAAUGCAACAAAGUUACUUAAUGAGUGAAUAACACAGAGGACAACAGAAGAUCUACGUUAAACACGGAUCUAGUAAACGUGUCUAUUAUCUCAUGAAUAUAUCAGUCUUGUAAACUUUUUUUUUAUAUUAAUUGUGUGUGAGAAAUCACAAAACCUUUAUUGUGUUGAAUGUUGGACACAAAAAUGUGGUAUCGUAAAACAAUUAUUUGAUGGGCUUUAAACAGGCCCUUUCAUAUUUAUUGAUGGGCUGAAGCUCAAAUAAGAUCCAAAUGAACAGACAAAACCAAACAGAAAAGACUUCUCAAUGUCCAAUGAAGAAUUAUGGAGUCAACUUGUUAUGUCUUGCGUAUGUUUCCCAAAUUUUCUUGUCCUAUUCUCUUAUGGAGUAUUAGAGUAAUAUGCUUAUUGUAUGGUUUUUCAGGUUCACAACCUUUUACCCAAUUCACACAGAAACCUCUUUUCUUGACCACAUUGAUUUUGGCUAUUGCUACUUCCGGAGAGCUCUCUCUUUGUUUGUGAAUUUGCUUCAUCCUUCUGGUGAAGCUCAUUUACAAGCAUCCUGCCAAAUGUUGGUUCUCUCAAAUUCUGAUUCCAAACCUGUACGCGUUCGCUGAUUCAACUGUCAUUUCGUUUCAUAAGCCUAUGACCUACCUUUAAGCGUUCGCGUUCGCCAGAUGACUCGAAUCUCCCGGAAUAUGAACCCGUGCAAAUCCUCUGACCAGCGACUAGCGGAACAGUUUGGAAUCACACAAACUAUUUCUACUUCGACUCAAGAAAAUAAGAAGGAGCAAAGCAUCAAAGACUAGCAUUGGUUUUUGCACACAAGCUUAACACAGAGUGUAAAUGGAUGGUGUGAUAUUUAUGUACCAUUUUCAUAAAAACUGAGACUUUUGUGAUUCAUAAGACUUUUUCAUCUAAAACUCUCUGAUGAUAGAUAAUCUACACAAUUCAGUGAAAUUGCCAGAUUACAGCCAUAGCCAUUGAUUCAAAAGCAAAUUCCUUUGGCAAAAACAGAUAAUUAUAAGAAUCAACCCAGAAUAUUCAAUUCAUAAUUAAGAUUCCGAUCCACAAAUAUCUCAUACAAACAAUUCUGAGAGAGAGAGAGAGAGAGAGAG